CCCUUAGAUGUCCUGGGCUGCACGCGCGCUACACUGAUGUGUCCAGUAAGCACCUAACCUCUUCCGAAAGGAACGGGUAACCUUUGCAAAGCACAUCGUGAUGGGGAUAGAUUAUUGCAAUUAUUAGUCUUGAACGAGGAAUUCCUAGUAAGCACAAGUCAUCAGCUUGUGUUGAUUACGUCCCUGCCCUUUGUACACACCGCCCGUCGCUCUACCGAUUGAAUGUUCCGGUGAGCUCUUCGGACUGCGCGGUCUGCAGUUUCUGCGUUCCGUGCGGAAAGUUGCGCAAACCUUAACAUUUAGAGGAAGGAGAAGUCGUAACA
This 323-nucleotide ribosomal RNA is filed under the name uncultured eukaryote. Its description in RNAcentral is "partial 18S ribosomal RNA". It matches the Rfam family "Eukaryotic small subunit ribosomal RNA", at positions 1470 to 1796 of the family's 1831-position model. The record is from RNAcentral.